This 490-nucleotide ribosomal RNA is filed under the name uncultured bacterium. RNAcentral's name for it is "partial 16S ribosomal RNA". It matches the Rfam family "Bacterial small subunit ribosomal RNA", at positions 30 to 507 of the family's 1533-position model. The record is from RNAcentral.
AUUGAACGCUGGCGGCAGGCCUAACACAUGCUAGUCGAAUGGUAACAGGAAACAGCUUGCUGUUUCGCUGACGAGUGGCGGACGGGUGAGUAAUGUCUGGGAAACUGCCUGAUGGAGGGGGAUAACUACUGGAGACGGUAGCUAAUACCGCAUAACGUCGCAAGACCAAAGAGGGGGACCUUCGGGCCUCUUGCCAUCAGAUGUGCCCAGAUGGGAUUAGCUAGUAGGUGGGGUAACGGCUCACCUAGGCGACGAUCCCUAGCUGGUCUGAGAGGAUGACCAGCCACACUGGAACUGAGACACGGUCCAGACUCCUACGGGAGGCAGCAGUGGGGAAUAUUGCACAAUGGGCGCAAGCCUGAUGCAGCCAUGCCGCGUGUAUGAAGAAGGCCUUCGGGUUGUAAAGUACUUUCAGCGGGGAGGAAGGGAGUAAAGUUAAUACCUUUGCUCAUUGACGUUACCCGCAGAAGAAGCACCGGCUAACUCCGUG